UACAGAGGGGGCAAGCGUUGUUCGGAAUUACUGGGCGUAAAGGGCGCGUAGGUGGCCUUCUAAGUUGAACGUGAAAUCCCUGGGCUCAACCCAGGAACUGCGUCCAAGACUGGGAGGCUUGAAUCCGGGAGAGGGAUGCGGAAUUCCAGGUGUAGCGGUGAAAUGCGCAGAUAUCAGGAGGAACACCGGUGGCGAAGGCGGGUCUCUGGGCCGAUACUGACGCUGAGGAGCGAAAGCGUGGGGAGCGAACAGG
This 253-nucleotide ribosomal RNA is filed under the name uncultured bacterium. RNAcentral's name for it is "partial 16S ribosomal RNA". It matches the Rfam family "Bacterial small subunit ribosomal RNA", at positions 524 to 776 of the family's 1533-position model. The record is from RNAcentral.